GUCCUAGCCGUAAACAAUGGAUACUAGGUGUUGAACAGAUCGACCUGUGCAGUACCAAAGCUAACGCGUUAAGUAUCCCGCCUGGGAAGUAUGCACGCAAGUGUGAAACUCAAAGGAAUUGACGGGGCCCGCACAAGCGGUGGAGCAUGUGGUUUAAUUCGAUGCAACGCGAAGAACCUUACCAGGGUUUGACAUGAUACGAAUUUCUUUGAAAGAAGAAAGUGCCUUUUGGAACGUAUACACAGGUGGUGCAUGGCUGUCGU
Molecule: ribosomal RNA, 263 nt
Filed under: uncultured bacterium
Lineage: Bacteria
Description: partial 16S ribosomal RNA
Rfam family: Bacterial small subunit ribosomal RNA
Source: RNAcentral